This 392-nucleotide long non-coding RNA is filed under the name Ananas comosus (pineapple). Its description in RNAcentral is "long non-coding RNA (ACOM_LNC037289)". Lineage: Eukaryota; Viridiplantae; Streptophyta; Magnoliopsida; Poales; Bromeliaceae. The record is from RNAcentral.
AAAUACUUAUCUUACAUAAAAAAAUUGAAAAAACUUUUUACACUUUCUCACUAUAUUACUCUAUGAUUUAAAGUGUAUCACUUUCGUACCCUGCGAUUUUAUUUUUUCUCUUUUUGUUAUCCCCUUCGCUAAUUUUUUUAUUAAAUUAGUGACAAAGUUAACACUAAAAGAUAUUAAAGUGAAUAUUUGAAAAACUAUAAAUAGGGGUCUGAACUUUUUUGUAUAUAAUGUAAUGAAAAAUUAACGGAGGGCAGACAGAAAAAGACAAAUGAAAUCACAGAAUAUUAAAUUGAUAUACUUUAAAUCACAGAGCACUAAAAUGAGAAAGUGUGAAACAACAUGGGUGGUAUUUAAAGUUUAUCCUACAAAAUUUAAAAAAGAAAAUUUGGAGG